This 915-nucleotide ribosomal RNA is filed under the name uncultured bacterium. RNAcentral describes it as "bacterial SSU rRNA". It matches the Rfam family "Bacterial small subunit ribosomal RNA", at positions 463 to 1373 of the family's 1533-position model. The record is from RNAcentral.
GCGUGAGUGACGGUAAUGGGUAAAGAAGCACNNGCUAACUACGUGCCAGCAGCCGCGGUGAUACGUAGGGUGCGAGCGUUGUCCGGAUUUAUUGGGCGUAAAGGGCUCGUAGGUGGUUGAUCGCGUCGGAAGUGUAAUCUUGGGGCUUANCCCUGAGCGUGCUUUCGAUACGGGUUGACUUGAGGAAGGUAGGGGAGAAUGGAAUUCCUGGUGGAGCGGUGGAAUGCGCAGAUAUCAGGAGGAACACCAGUGGCGAAGGCGGUUCUCUGGGCCUUUCCUGACGCUGAGGAGCGAAAGCGUGGGGAGCGAACAGGCUUAGAUACCCUGGUAGUCCACGCUGUAAACGGUGGGUACUAGGUGUGGGGUCCAUUCCACGGGUUCCGUGCCGUAGCUAACGCUUUAAGUACCCCGCCUGGGGAGUACGGCCGCAAGGCUAAAACUCAAAGGAAUUGACGGGGCCCCGCACAAGCGGCGGAGCAUGCGGAUUAAUUCGAUGCAACGCGUAGAACCUUACCUGGGUUUGACAUGGAUCGGGAGUGCUCAGAGAUGGGUGUGCCUCUUUUGGGGUCGGUUCACAGGUGGUGCAUGGCUGUCGUCAGCUCGUGUCGUGAGAUGUUGGGUUAAGUCCCGCAACGAGCGCAACCCUUGUUCACUGUUGCCAGCACGUUAUGGUGGGGACUCAGUGGAGACCGCCGGGGUCAACUCGGAGGAAGGUGGGGAUGACGUCAAGUCAUCAUGCCCCUUAUGUCCAGGGCUUCACGCAUGCUACAAUGGCUGGUACAGAGAGUGGCGAGCCUGUGAGGGUGAGCGAAUCUCGGAAAGCCGGUCUCAGUUCGGAUUGGGGUCUGCAACUCGACCUCAUGAAGUCGGAGUCGCUAGUAAUCGCAGAUCAGCAACGCUGCGGUGAAUACGUUC